AUUGAACGCUGGCGGCAUGCCUUACACAUGCAAGUCGAACGGCAGCACGGGUGCUUGCACCUGGUGGCGAGUGGCGAACGGGUGAGUCAUACAUCGGAACAUGUCCUGUAGUGGGGGAUAGCCCGGCGAAAGCCGGAUUACUACCGCAUACUAUCUACGGAUGAAAGCGGGGGCCCUUCGGGCCUCGCGCUAUAGGGUUGGCCGAUGGCUGAUUAGCUAGUUGGUGGGGUAAAGGCCUACCAAGGCGACGAUCAGUAGCUGGUCUGAGAGGACGACCAGCCACACUGGGACUGAGACACGGCCCAGACUCCUACGGGAGGCAGCAGUGGGGAAUUUUGGACAAUGGGCGAAAGCCUGAUCCAGCAAUGCCGCGUGUGUGAAGAAGGCCUUCGGGUUGUAAAGCACUUUUGUCCGGAAAGAAAACCUUGGCCCUAAUACGGUCGGGGGAUGACGGUACCGGAAGAAUAAGCACCGGCUAACUACGUG
This 486-nucleotide ribosomal RNA is filed under the name uncultured bacterium. RNAcentral describes it as "partial 16S ribosomal RNA". It matches the Rfam family "Bacterial small subunit ribosomal RNA", at positions 30 to 507 of the family's 1533-position model. The record is from RNAcentral.